Molecule: long non-coding RNA, 761 nt
Filed under: Gossypium barbadense (sea-island cotton)
Lineage: Eukaryota; Viridiplantae; Streptophyta; Magnoliopsida; Malvales; Malvaceae
Description: long non-coding RNA (GBAR_LNC005781)
Source: RNAcentral
GCAGUUCCACCUCCGUGGUUGAUUGUGCCCUUAGCUACGCAUGCUCUAGGUGAUUAAGAUAUUCUAGAGUUAAAGCUUGGUCGGAGAUGACAUUAGCUAAACUUUCAAGCUGUUAGUGAGGGUAAUGCCUUGUCACGGUAAAGCUGUGAUAAGCACCGAUAUUUCGAUAUGAGAUGUUUCAAUAGGUAUUAGAAGGGUGAACAAGAAGUUUGGUAAUGGACAUUAGUGAGGCUCGUGCAAUGGGGUCUUCGAAAGUCAUCUUUAACAUCGAAAAGAGGGGUAUUAGCUUCAAUAGUGGGAUUCAUGGCACCAAUUGUUUCAAUCAUUUGAGACAGAGAUGAGAUAAAGAGAUUGUGCGCUAAGGGGUGCCAAAGCUUGUGCUUCAAGGUGUUGUCCGAUGCUUAAGUCAGAUAGAGGACACUUGUAGGCUUAGGAGAAUAUUUAGGCAGAGUAUAAAUAACACAUGAGCUCAUACUUGAGGAUAGAGCCUCUCCUUCACCUUGUAUCCUAUCCAAGAUUGUUAGUUCCUUCUAAGGUUUAUGCUCUUGGGGAUUCGUAGGGACCAAUUCGUGGUCAAUGGAGGCGCAUGUCCGUGGUUUGUCAUUACUGUGCCUUCAACCACUUUGUUGGCUUUGCCAUCUCACUUGAGUCUGCUUACAAAAUUGCACCUGAGUACAAAUCCUUAAAUGAAUAAUGAUAAUUGUUUUCUCAGAUAUGUUCUACCUAGAACAAGCAUAUCAUGUAUAAGAGUUUAUACUUGC